Molecule: ribosomal RNA, 1007 nt
Filed under: uncultured bacterium
Lineage: Bacteria
Description: bacterial SSU rRNA
Rfam family: Bacterial small subunit ribosomal RNA
Source: RNAcentral
CGGAGCAGCAGUGGGAAUAUGGACAUGGGGCAACCUGAUCCAGCCAUGCGCGUGUGUGAGAAGGCCCUCGGUGUAAAGCACUUUCAGCGAGGAAGAACGCCUAGUGGUUAAUNCCAUUAGGAAAGACAUCACUCGCAGAAGAAGCACCGGCUAACUCCGUGCCAGCAGCCGCGGUAAUACGGAGGGUGCAAGCGUUAAUCGGAAUUACUGGGCGUAAAGCGCGCGUAGGUGGCUUGAUAAGCCGGUUGUGAAAGCCCCGGGCUCAACCUGGGAACGGCAUCCGGAACUGUCAGGCUGGAGUGCAGGAGAGGAAGGUAGAAUUCCCGGUGUAGCGGUGAAAUGCGUAGAGAUCGGGAGGAAUACCAGUGGCGAAGGCGGCCUUCUGGACUGACACUGACACUGAGGUGCGAAAGCGUGGGUAGCAAACAGGAUUAGAUACCCUGGUAGUCCACGCCGUAAACGAUGUCGACCAGCCGUUGGGUGCCUAGCGCACUUUGUGGCGAAGUUAACGCGAUAAGUCGACCGCCUGGGGAGUACGGCCGCAAGGUUAAAACUCAAAUGAAUUGACGGGGGCCCGCACAAGCGGUGGAGCAUGUGGUUUAAUUCGAUGCAACGCGAAGAACCUUACCUACCCUUGACAUCGACAGAAGCCGAGAGAGAUCUUGGUGUGCCUUCGGGAACUGUCAGACAGGUGCUGCAUGGCUGUCGUCAGCUCGUGUUGUGAAAUGUUGGGUUAAGUCCCGUAACGAGCGCAACCCUUGUCCUUAUUUGCCAGCGCGUAAUGGCGGGAACUCUAAGGAGACUGCCGGUGACAAACCGGAGGAAGGUGGGGACGACGUCAAGUCAUCAUGGCCCUUACGGGUAGGGCUACACACGUGCUACAAUGGCCGGUACAAAGGGCAGCGAGCUCGCGAGAGUCAGCGAAUCCCUUAAAGCCGGUCUCAGUCCGGAUCGGAGUCUGCAACUCGACUCCGUGAAGUCGGAAUCGCUAGUAAUCGGAAUCAGAA